GGAGGCUUCUGUAAGGAAAUGAAUGGCCUGAAGCAUAGAGCUAAAAAUGAGAAGUUAAGUAGAUAGAGGGAGUGUGAGGAAGAGGCAGCGUAGGGAGCUGAGAGAAAGCCUGAGGAACCCGUUAGUGCAGAGACUAUUUGGGGGGAUUUGGGCUCUGAGUUAGAGGAACAGGAAAUCACUGAAGGGCUGCAGAUAAUAAAAGUGGGCUUGCAUUUUAAAAAGCGCUAGGAUGCUUCAGGUCACAUGACACCCUGCCAGCCGCAUUCCCACCACACGAGGAGCCUAUUGGAAGAAAGACACAUUCCAUUUUGUGGUUUGAUCUCUCUCUCUCUCUCUCUCUCUCUGUGUGUGUGUGUGUGUGUGUGUGUGUGUGUGUGUGUGUGUGUGCCCAGCAAGAAUUCAGAGGAAUGCAUUUGCCAUGGCUUGACAGAAAGUCCCCAAGCACCACUCCCUCCCCAGGUGCCACGCUUCACCCCUGCAAGCGUGAGGACAUCACAUUGCACGGAUGAAGGAGUAGAAAUGGAGUAGAAGGCAGGAAGCUGACGCCUAUGGUCAGGGUAGGGGCACGUGACCUCCUGGACUGGGCGGGUGAGCUCAGUAUGCUGUACACCGACGAGCUGAGCGCUGAGGUCACAGACUGGGCAAAAUGGAGAAAGACAAGUAUCUCUUUGGAGAUUUUACUUCUUUGAGAACAAGAAAUGGGCACCCGCUUAGUUCUACAAUUCCGAGGUUAGAAUAUAUCUCGUGACACUCAGUUCUCUCCUACCAUGUGGCUCUUGCUCUGAGGAUCAGACUCGGGGUGGCAAGCUUGGCGACAGACAAAAGAUUAAUUAGCACCCGCCGUGAAAUGAAGUGGUGUGUGAAGAUGACAUGUUGCUUCUCUGAGACCUUAGGCAAGUGUUAUGUGUUAACUGUCAACUUGACAGAAUCCGGAACCACUUGGGAGCUUAACAUCCAGGGAGCACAGCUCUAGGUGGUGAGCUGGGGGCUGGAGGACUGAGAAUCGAGGAGAAGCCUCCGUUCUCCACAGUCCCUUAAGAACCAAGGUUGGCUUUUCCAUCUUAGCUUGUUAUGAAGGUCACCACCCAGAAGGCAGAAAAAGAAAGAACUCGGGGAACCAUGCAGAAGAGGAUUAUCAUGAGAUUCACAGCGGGCCAUGGACUUCUGCUUACUGAUGUAAAACUCAGUCCCUCCACCCCACUAAACUACAAGGAAGCCUGGGCGAUAUGGUCUCCACGCAUUCUCUACGAAAAAGGUCAGCAGUGACGGGUCUGUCAGUGGGUGAUCACUGAGCCUUCUCGGAAGACUCCUAGUUAGACCUAAAGACGCUAGCACGAAACCUCAUUCCAGAGAUAAGAAGAGAGGAAAGGGAGGGUUUGGGGACCUCUCUCAGCUGUCUUUUACUUCAGUGGAAAUACAACAGUCCUAAAUUCACCAAUCGACCGUGUCGCACCUUGACUGGCCAGAAACUAAGCUUGUUUCUUAGCAUGGGUUUGAAAGGUUGACAUAAACUCCAUUUGUCUCCGCUUAAAGACCAAACCUGAUUACCAAAAGAAGACGUAAGGCACCAGCUCCAGGAACAGACCGUAAAAUCCACAGUAAGCUCAUAAAACCCCCUCCCAAAGAGUAGCCUGGGGAUAACCACAGAAGUAGGGAAAUGUCUUAUCUCAGGAUGGACCAUCUGCGCUGGGCAGCCCUAUCUCAUCCUAUGACUAAACAUUCAUGACAUAAGAAUGCAGACCGCUGGCCAGCUGUGACCCCCUAGCACCCAACAGUGCAAUUUUAGAUUACCCAAUCCUUCUAGAGGUUCCCCCAGUUCCCUUCUUAUAAGCCCUGCGUGCCUUUGUCUUGGGUCGCCAUUUUAAAGAAUGGUUAACCCCUGGUUGUUUCUGCAGAAAAAAUGUUGUUUGUCUUUGCAUACUAUCUGAGUCUGGGGUCUUCCUUCAGCAAUUUUGAGACUCUUACAGGGAUAUAAGCAAGGUAGCCUGAAAGUACAAAGGGACAACCAGGGCUAUACAGAGAAACCCUGUCUCAAAAAAAACAAAAACAAACAAACAAAAAGUACAAAGGGAUGACUGUCCACAAACAAAGCAGAAGGUGAAGUGGGCCUGGCAGGUAGGAGGAGGGUCUGUCAAGGUUUCCUUCGUAUCAGCCAGACAAAAAAGAGCCUCGUGCUUCUCUACAGAUUAAUAGCUCAAUGCACUGCAGGGUAUUUAUAAGAUUGGGAUAGUACACAGGAAUGAGGCAGGAAAACAAAACAAAACAAAACAAAAAAACAUUGCUACAAGUAACACAUUGGUUGCACAGAUAUUAAGUUGAGU
This is a long non-coding RNA of Mus musculus (house mouse), 2321 nucleotides long. RefSeq annotates it as predicted gene, 40770. The transcript is spliced from 5 exons. The record is from RefSeq and is a predicted model, not a curated record. Lineage: Eukaryota; Metazoa; Chordata; Mammalia; Rodentia; Muridae.